This 429-nucleotide long non-coding RNA is filed under the name Nicotiana benthamiana. RNAcentral's name for it is "long non-coding RNA (NBEN_LNC035780)". Lineage: Eukaryota; Viridiplantae; Streptophyta; Magnoliopsida; Solanales; Solanaceae. The record is from RNAcentral.
GGGCAUUUUAGAAAUUGACUCAGAUGUUGAACAGCAAAACAUAUGUCAGGCCUAGUAUGAGUCAGAAACAACAGCUUACCAACAAGACUCCUAUACUGAUCAGGAGAGGAUAAAAGAUCACCAGAAUCAGCAUGAAGUUUGACAUUAAUAUCCAAAGGACAAACAACAGAGGAUACAUUUGCACAAUCAAACUGAUGCAGUAAAUCAGAAAUAUACUUAUGCUGAUUAAGGAUCAUUCCACCAGGAACAGCUGACAUUUCAAGGCCCAAAAAAUAAUGCAAAGACCCUAGGUCUUUGGCUGAUGCAGCAAAUCACAAACAUAUUUAUGCUGAUUAAUGAUCAUACCACCAGGAACAAAUGACAUUUCUAUGCCCAAAAAAGUAAUGCAAAGACCCUAGGUCUUUGAUUUUAAACUGAUCAUCCAGAAAC